CCGAGCUCCUCUCUAUCUUGCUAUUCCGACCAACCAUCUCGCUAAUUCAAAUCUUGAGGGCGGUCUGGCCAUCUAGCCUGGAACGCGGGAUUGACCUCAAACAUGACUUCAACCUCAGGCGUACACCUAUCCGACUUCGCGAUUUCAAUCCCGAGCUUGAGUCCGUCGACUAUUAUGCAUGAGCUGAUUUCUUCAUGUGGUUCAAUGUCCAGCCGAGCCUUGCGUAAGAAGUCGACCAUCUUUGCCCAGUUCGUGGCGAUCGAUUCUCC
RNAcentral lists this long non-coding RNA (269 nucleotides) under Manihot esculenta (cassava). RNAcentral describes it as "long non-coding RNA (MESC_LNC000942)". The record is from RNAcentral. Lineage: Eukaryota; Viridiplantae; Streptophyta; Magnoliopsida; Malpighiales; Euphorbiaceae.